RNAcentral lists this ribosomal RNA (395 nucleotides) under uncultured bacterium. RNAcentral's name for it is "bacterial SSU rRNA". It matches the Rfam family "Bacterial small subunit ribosomal RNA", at positions 505 to 898 of the family's 1533-position model. The record is from RNAcentral.
GUGUCAGCCGCCGCGGUAAUACGAGUUGUGCAAACGUUAUUCGGAAUCACUGGGCUUAAAGGGUGCGUAGGCGGACAUGUAGGUCAGGUGUGAAAUCCCACGGCUCAACCGUGGAAUUGCGCUUGAAACCACAUGCCUUGAGGGGAUCAGAGGAGAGCGGAACUGAUGGUGGAGCGGUGAAAUGCGUUGAUAUCAUCAGGAACACCGGUGGCGAAAGCGGCUCUCUGGGAUCUUUCUGACGCUGAGGCACGAAAGCUAGGGGAGCGAACGGGAUUAGAUACCCCGGUAGUCCUAGCUGUAAACGAUCUGUACUAGUCCGUGGGGACCCCCACAUCUUCUCGGACGUAGCGAAAGUGUUAAGUACAGCGCCUGGGGAGUAUGGUCGCAAGGCUGAA